Long non-coding RNA from Alosa alosa (allis shad), 591 nucleotides. RefSeq lists it as uncharacterized. The record is from RefSeq and is a predicted model, not a curated record. The transcript is spliced from 3 exons. Lineage: Eukaryota; Metazoa; Chordata; Actinopteri; Clupeiformes; Clupeidae.
AUGAUGGGAAGGGAGCCUUUGAUGGUCACUGGAGCUCUGUCCACAGGGGCUGAGGAUUCCAGCCAGUGGGUCUUUGAUUUGGUUCACGCGUGACAAGGGUUCCAGGCCUCUCGUGUUCCGUGCUUUGUAGAUCAAGGAUUGUUGGUGUACAUAGGACUUGGCAGCAUUACAAAAAGAAUGCCUUAAAACCAAGCAGGAGAACAAAGGAGGCUUGGGAGAGGAGGUGAUCAAGCACAAGGCUAUUUGCAGAGGAAAGAUUGGGCAAACCCUCACAAACAAAGAUAAGAGAAAUGGAGGACCAUCUCUGAUACAAUUUAGUCAUCCAUCUAUAAAUUACAGGAAUGUCUGUGUGUGUGUGUGUGUGUGCGUGUGUGUUAUUCACAUUCGCAUAUCUGUAGAACUGUUCAUUUGACUAAUUUGGCAGGUGUUUUCUUACGGGCAUUAGUAAGUGCAGUGUAAAGUUUGAUGUUGUUUGAAUAAGAAAUGCAAAAGAUGUUGUUAAAUAUCAGUAAAAGAAGCACACAUUGGCUUUUGCCGCUCUAGCUGCUGGCCACUCCCCCCCUCACACAGCACAGCAAAGGACCAGGGGCA